RNAcentral lists this ribosomal RNA (253 nucleotides) under uncultured bacterium. RNAcentral's name for it is "partial 16S ribosomal RNA". It matches the Rfam family "Bacterial small subunit ribosomal RNA", at positions 524 to 776 of the family's 1533-position model. The record is from RNAcentral.
GACGGAAGGUGCAAGCGUUGCUCGGAAUCACUGGGCGUAAAGCGCGUGUAGGCGGCUAUGUAAGUCGGGCGUGAAAUCCCACGGCUCAACCGUGGAAGUGCACCCGAAACUGCGUAGCUAGAGUCCUGGAGAGGAAGGUGGAAUGCUUGGUGUAGAGGUGAAAUUCGUAGAUAUCAAGCGGAACACCGGUGGCGAAGGCGGCCUUCUGGACAGUGACUGACGCUGAGACGCGAAAGCUAGGGGAGCAAACGGG